RNAcentral lists this ribosomal RNA (417 nucleotides) under Petriella setifera. Its description in RNAcentral is "SSU rRNA". It matches the Rfam family "Eukaryotic small subunit ribosomal RNA", at positions 594 to 1016 of the family's 1831-position model. Lineage: Eukaryota; Fungi; Ascomycota; Sordariomycetes; Microascales; Microascaceae. RNAcentral also lists the same sequence under 1 other name. The record is from RNAcentral.
AUAGCGUAUAUUAAAGUUGUUGUGGUUAAAAAGCUCGUAGUUGAACCUUGGGCCUGGCUGGCCGGUCCCCCUCACCGGGUGCACUGAUCCAGCCGGGCCUUUCCCUCUGUGGAACCCCAUGGCCUUCACUGGCUGUGGCGGGGAAACAGGACUUUUACUUUGAAAAAAUUAGAGUGCUCCAGGCAGGCCUAUGCUCGAAUACAUUAGCAUGGAAUAAUAGAAUAGGACGUGUGGUUCUAUUUUGUUGGUUUCUAGGACCGCCGUAAUGAUUAAUAGGGACAGUCGGGGGCAUCAGUAUUCAAUUGUCAGAGGUGAAAUUCUUGGAUCUAUUGAAGACUAACUACUGCGAAAGCAUUUGCCAAGGAUGUUUUCAUUGAUAAGGAACGAAAGUUAGGGGAUCGAAGACGAUCAGAUACC